GUGGAGCGCAGGAUCCUGGGCUGUGUUCCCCGGCACCCUGGGCUCUGCAGCCUGUGCCGCUAGAAUCGCGCUCUUGGGCCAUGGAACCCCCU
Molecule: microRNA precursor, 92 nt
Filed under: Canis lupus familiaris (dog)
Lineage: Eukaryota; Metazoa; Chordata; Mammalia; Carnivora; Canidae
Description: mir-8799 microRNA precursor family
Rfam family: mir-8799 microRNA precursor family
Source: Rfam by way of RNAcentral